This 425-nucleotide ribosomal RNA is filed under the name uncultured bacterium. RNAcentral's name for it is "partial 16S ribosomal RNA". It matches the Rfam family "Bacterial small subunit ribosomal RNA", at positions 354 to 796 of the family's 1533-position model. The record is from RNAcentral.
GUAAGGAAUAUUGGACAAUGGGCGAAAGCCUGAUCCAGCCAUGCCGCGUGAGUGACGAAGGCCUUAGGGUUGUAAAGCUCUUUUGUCCGGGAAGAUAAUGACUGUACCGGAAGAAUAAGCCCCGGCUAACUUCGUGCCAGCAGCCGCGGUAAUACGAAGGGGGCUAGCGUUGUUCGGAAUCACUGGGCGUAAAGCGCACGUAGGCGGACCAUUAAGUCAGGGGUGAAAGCCUGGAGCUCAACUCCAGAACGGCCUUUGAUACUGAUGGUCUCGAGUAUGGAAGAGGUUGGUGGAACUGCGAGUGUAGAGGUGAAAUUCGUAGAUAUUCGCAAGAACACCGGUGGCGAAGGCGGCCAACUGGUCCAUUACUGACGCUGAGAUGCGAAAGCGUGGGGAGCAAACAGGAUUAGAAACCCGGGUAGUCC